GCAAUGCCCGCGUCACCUAUCGCGGGCGCACCGUUACCGUGCGUGGGUUCCGCCAUGGUCGUCCGAUGAGCGUGACAUUUGCCGAUACGCGCGGUUGCCCGAUCAUCCGCUAGACCGCAUCCCGAAAAGUGUGAAACGGUUUUCGGAAAAGAUGCGCGUCAAAACAAAGGAUUAGAGCGCCGAUCUGUUUUAAU
RNAcentral lists this unclassified non-coding RNA (194 nucleotides) under Brucella sp. 191011898. RNAcentral's name for it is "BASRCI408". Lineage: Bacteria; Pseudomonadati; Pseudomonadota; Alphaproteobacteria; Hyphomicrobiales; Brucellaceae. The record is from RNAcentral.